RNAcentral lists this ribosomal RNA (465 nucleotides) under uncultured bacterium. RNAcentral describes it as "bacterial SSU rRNA". It matches the Rfam family "Bacterial small subunit ribosomal RNA", at positions 335 to 793 of the family's 1533-position model. The record is from RNAcentral.
AUCCUACGGGAGGCAGCAGUGGGGAAUAUUGCACAAUGGGGGAAACCCUGAUGCAGCCAUGCCGCGUGUGUGAAGAAGGCCUUCGGGUUGUAAAGCACUUUCAGUAGGGAGGAAGGUAGUGUAGUUAACACCUGCACUAUUUGACGUUACCUACAGAAGAAGCACCGGCUAACUCCGUGCCAGCAGCCGCGGUAAUACGGAGGGUGCGAGCGUUAAUCGGAAUUACUGGGCGUAAAGCGCAUGCAGGCGGCCUGUUAAGUCAGAUGUGAAAGCCCGGGGCUUAACCUCGGAAUUGCAUUUGAAACUGGCAGGCUAGAGUCUUGUAGAGGGGGUAGAAUUUCAGGUGUAGCGGUGAAAUGCGUAGAGAUCUGAAGGAAUACCAGUGGCGAAGGCGGCCCCCCUGGACAAAGACUGACGCUCAGAUGCGAAAGCGUGGGGAGCAAACAGGAUUAGAUACCCUGGUAG